This 300-nucleotide ribosomal RNA is filed under the name uncultured bacterium. Its description in RNAcentral is "bacterial SSU rRNA". It matches the Rfam family "Bacterial small subunit ribosomal RNA", at positions 495 to 795 of the family's 1533-position model. The record is from RNAcentral.
UGUACACCCGUGCGAGAGGACGCGGGAAUACGGAGGGUGCAAGAGUUAAUCAGAAUUACUGGGCGUAAAGCGUGCGCAGGCGGCUUAUUAAGUCAGAUGUGAAAUCCCUAGGCUCAACCUAGGAACUGCAUUUGAAACUAAUAAACUAGAGUAUCGUAGAGGGAGGUAGAAUUCCAGGUGUAGCGGUGAAAUGCGUAGAUAUCUGGAGGAAUACCAGUGGCGAAGGCGACCUCCUGGACGAAAACUGACGCUCAAGCACGAAAGCAUGGGGAGCAAACAGGAUUAGAUACCCGUGUAGUC